RNAcentral lists this ribosomal RNA (253 nucleotides) under uncultured bacterium. RNAcentral's name for it is "partial 16S ribosomal RNA". It matches the Rfam family "Bacterial small subunit ribosomal RNA", at positions 524 to 776 of the family's 1533-position model. The record is from RNAcentral.
UACAGAGGUCUCAAGCGUUGUUCGGAUUCAUUGGGCGUAAAGGGUGCGUAGGUGGCGCCGUAAGUCGGGUGUGAAAUUUCGGAGCUUAACUCCGAAACUGCAUUCGAUACUGCAGUGCUUGAGGACUGGAGAGGAGACUGGAAUUCAUGGUGUAGCAGUGAAAUGCGUAGAGAUCAUGAGGAAGACCAGUGGCGAAGGCGGGUCUCUGGGCCGAUACUGACGCUGAGGAGCGAAAGCGUGGGGAGCGAACAGG